CCUACGGGUGGCAGCAGUGAGGAAUAUUGGUCAAUGGGCGAGAGCCUGAACCAGCCAAGUCGCGUGAGGGAGUACUGCCCUAUGGGUUGUAAACCUCUUUUGUCGGGGAGCAAAAGCCGGACGUGUCCGGCUGUGAGAGUACCCGAAGAAAAAGCAUCGGCUAACUCCGUGCCAGCAGCCGCGGUAAUACGGGGGAUGCCCGCGUUAUCCGGAUUUAUUGGGUUUAAAGGGUGCGCAGGCGGAUUUUUAAGUCAGCGGUAAAAUCGUGGGGCUCAACCCCAUCCAGCCGUUGAAACUUGGGAUCUAGAGUGUGCGAGAGGUAUGCGGAAUGCGUGGUGUAGCGGUGAAAUGCAUAGAUAUCACGCAGAACCCCGAUUGCGAAGGCAGCAUACCGGUGCACAACUGACGCUCAGGCACGAAAGCGUGGGUAUCGAACAGGAUUAGAUACCCGAGUAGUC
This 458-nucleotide ribosomal RNA is filed under the name uncultured bacterium. RNAcentral's name for it is "partial 16S ribosomal RNA". It matches the Rfam family "Bacterial small subunit ribosomal RNA", at positions 338 to 795 of the family's 1533-position model. The record is from RNAcentral.